GUAAACGAGUAAAAAACGCUGUGCAGUCACGUCUCCGGUUCUUUCUGCGCAUGCUCCAAACUUAAUGGUAUAAUAUGUGUUUUAUAGCAUAAUGAUGCAAACAUAACAGUAUUUACAUUCAUCACAUUACUGUGCUGGAAAACAAUACAAAUUAAAUAAAAAAGAAGAAGAAGUGUAGAUGAAGAAAAGCGGGACAAAGACAGAGCCCUGAUGAAGUCUGAUGACCUGAAGAGGGUGGAGCUGAGACUUCAGGCAGCAGACGGACUUCUGAGGAGGAACAUCAGCACCACACGAGAGGUGGCAACAGGAUGGGGGCAGGUCAUGACAUGGAAAGGAGACUCUCUGCUUGCAGGCUUCCUGUGAUGUAGCUUCCUGUGUUUGACUGUGUUUUUAAACAAACUUUACUAUUUAUCUCUCCUUUUUUCCUCUUUUAAUAAUCCUAAAUUGUUUUUGUCUUCCUGUCUUGUGCCUGUAGUUAGUUAACUCAACUAUCACUAGUGUUGAUUAUAUUCAUUCCCACUGUAUCACAUCACUGUAUCUUAACUCUAUUUGCUGUUAUAAGCACUAUGCCGGCUGUGAGUCUGCCUUUGAGCACAGGUGAGGACUCGUUCGAGUUGCAAACGGUGGAGUUGGAGAUGGAGGCUUUGGAGAAACAGGCAAAGCAUG
This is a long non-coding RNA of Silurus meridionalis, 666 nucleotides long. RefSeq lists it as uncharacterized. The transcript has 3 exons. NCBI's taxonomy places the organism in Eukaryota, Metazoa, Chordata, Actinopteri, Siluriformes, Siluridae. The record is from RefSeq and is a predicted model, not a curated record.